AACAUCCAAGUGAGACCGAGAUCAUAUUACAUGAUUAUUUCUUGAUAAGAUUCUGUAUUUCAUUAAGCAAAUAUAGCAACAGUUCUGAAACUAAAACAGAGUGAAUCUGCUAGCUACAUUUUUAACAAGUUGGGCAGUGUACUAGCAUAUUAUCAUUCUAGUUUACAUUUGUCAAUGCACGGAACUCCGAAUUAUUCCAAGCUAGAAAGUCUAGAUUAGAAAUCUAGAAAAUAGCUGCAUUUUGGUACAUUUAAAUAUAUGCUG
RNAcentral lists this long non-coding RNA (264 nucleotides) under Ictidomys tridecemlineatus (thirteen-lined ground squirrel). RNAcentral's name for it is "lncRNA (ENSSTOG00000032575.1)". The record is from RNAcentral. Lineage: Eukaryota; Metazoa; Chordata; Mammalia; Rodentia; Sciuridae.